Molecule: ribosomal RNA, 253 nt
Filed under: uncultured bacterium
Lineage: Bacteria
Description: partial 16S ribosomal RNA
Rfam family: Bacterial small subunit ribosomal RNA
Source: RNAcentral
UACGUAGGUGGCGAGCGUUGUCCGGAAUUACUGGGUGUAAAGGGCGUGUAGGCGGGAUUGUAAGUCAGAUGUGAAAUUCCAGAGCUUAACUCUGGCGCUGCAUCUGAAACUGCGAUUCUUGAGUGCUGGAGAGGAUAGUGGAAUUCCUAGUGUAGCGGUGAAAUGCGUAGAUAUUAGGAGGAACACCAGUGGCGAAGGCGGCUAUCUGGACAGUAACUGACGCUGAGGCGCGAAAGCGUGGGGAGCAAACAGG